UAGGGAAUCUUCCGCAAUGGGCGAAAGCCUGACGGAGCAACGCCGCGUGAGUGAUGAAGGUCUUCGGAUCGUAAAACUCUGUUAUUAGGGAAGAACAAAUGUGUAAUUAACUAUGCACAUCUUGACGGUACCUAAUCAGAAAGCCACGGCUAACUACGUGCCAGCAGCCGCGGUAAUACGUAGGUGGCAAGCGUUAUCCGGAAUUAUUGGGCGUAAAGCGCGCGUAGGCGGUUUUUUAAGUCUGAUGUGAAAGCCCACGGCUCAACCGUGGAGGGUCAUUGGAAACUGGAAAACUUGAGUGCAGAAGAGGAAAGUGGAAUUCCAUGUGUAGCGGUGAAAUGCGCAGAGAUAUGGAGGAACACCGGUGGCGAAGGCGACUUUCUGGUCUGUAACUGACGCUGAGGCUCGAAAGCGUGGGGAGCGAACAGG
RNAcentral lists this ribosomal RNA (429 nucleotides) under Bacteroidota bacterium. Its description in RNAcentral is "Bacteroidetes bacterium partial 16S ribosomal RNA". It matches the Rfam family "Bacterial small subunit ribosomal RNA", at positions 355 to 776 of the family's 1533-position model. Lineage: Bacteria; Pseudomonadati; Bacteroidota. The record is from RNAcentral.